GGAGAAUGCCUGGGCACAGAGAGGCGAUGAAGGACGCAGCGAACAGCGAAAUGCGGCGGCGAGCGGUAAGCACGCGAUGACCCGCCGAUAUCCGAAUGGGGAAACCCCUCCGCUCAAGAAGCGGAGACCGCAUGACGACCGUCAUGACGGGGCAAUACGCAGGGAACUGAAACAUCUAAGUACCUGCAGGAAGAGAAAGAGAAGUCGAUUCCGUAAGUAGCGGCGAGCGAAAGCGGAGGAGCCCAAACCGGACACAGUCCGGGGUUGUAGGACCGCCGAUAAAGAUGACAUGAAGAGUCAGGAGAAUCCCAUGGGAAGGGGAUCCGAAGAGGGUGAGAGACCCGUAUCCGAAGGCUCGACAUGGAUCGAGGCGGCACCUGAGUACGGCGGGGCACGUGGAAUCCUGCCGGAAUCAUCGGGGACCAUCCCGAAAGGCUAAACACUACUCUGUGACCGAUAGCGAACCAGUACCGUGAGGGAAAGGUGAAAAGAACCCCGGGAGGGGAGUGAAAGAGAACCUGAAACCGCAUGCCCACAAGAAGUCAGAGCCCGUCAAAGGGUGAUGGCGUGCCUUUUGUAGAAUGAGCCGGCGAGUCACGAUCAGCAGGCGAGGUUAAGCAGGAUAUGCGGAGCCGCAGCGAAAGCGAGUCUUAAGAGGGCGGAAUAGUCUGAGGUCGUGGACCCGAAACCGGGUGAUCUAGCCAUGAGCAGGUUGAAGUCGGGGUAAGACCCGAUGGAGGACCGAACCGACCCCCGUUGAAACGUUGGCGGAUGACUUGUGGCUAGGGGUGAAAUUCCAAUCGAACCCGGAGAUAGCUGGUUCUCCCCGAAAUAGCUUUAGGGCUAGCGUCGGAAAGAACCUUAGUGAAGGUAGAGCACUGAAUGUGUGAUGGCCCCAUCCCGGGGUACUGAAUACAAUCAAACUGCGAAUGUCAUUAAGGAUGUCCGGCAGUCAGACUGUGAGUGAUAAGGUCCAUGGUCAAGAGGGAAACAGCCCAGACCGCCAGUUAAGGUCCCAAAAUACAGGCUAAGUGGAAAAGGAUGUGGGGAUGCCCAGACAACUAGGAGGUUGGCUCAGAAGCAGCCAUCCUUUAAAGAGUGCGUAACAGCUCACUAGUCGAAUGACUCUGCGCCGAUAAUUUACCGGGGCUAAGCAUGACACCGAAGCUAUGGACAGGAAUGUGGUAGGGGAGCAUUGCAUGCAGCGGAGAAGCAUGACCGAAAGGGCAUGUGGAGCGCAUGGAAGAGAGAAUGCCGGCGUGAGUAGCGGCACGUGGGUGAGAAUCCCACGCACCGAUGGCCCAAGGUCUCCAGAGGAAGGCUCGUCCUCUCUGGGAUAGUCGGGACCUAAGGCGAGGCCGAAAGGCGUAGCCGAUGGACGACGGGUGGAUAUUCCCGUACCCGAUGUGUGGCGAUGGAGUGACGGAGAAGGCUCAGGCAACCAGCUGCUGGAAUAGCUGGGGCAAGCGAGAUACCUGCGCACCAGGGAAAUCCGGUGCGCAUAAGGGGAAGGCGCGAUGCAUACGGAAAGCUUCGGCAAGUACGGAAAAGCUGAGAGCAGGCUUCCAGGAAAAGCUUCUAGCACAACACACAUCGGCCCGUACCGAAAAUGGACACACAUGGGCAAGGAGAGAAUCCUGAGGUGAGCGAGAGAACUAUAGCUAAGGAACUCUGCAAAAUGACCCCGUAACCUAGGGAGAAGGGGUGCUCCAGAAAUGGAGCCGCAGUAAAACGGCCCAAGCGACUGUUUACCAAAAACACAGCUCUCUGCGAAGGCGCAAGCCGAAGUAUAGGGGGUGACGCCUGCCCGGUGCUGGAAGGUCAAGGGGAGCUGUCAGCGCAAGCGAAGCAGCGAGCCGAAGCCCCAGUAAACGGCGGCCGUAACAAUAACGGUCCUAAGGUAGCGAAAUUCCUUGUCGGGCAAGUUCCGACCCGCACGAAAGGCGUAACGAUUUGGGCGCUGUCUCAGCUGUAGACUCGGUGA
Molecule: ribosomal RNA, 1984 nt
Filed under: human gut metagenome
Description: bacterial LSU rRNA
Rfam family: Bacterial large subunit ribosomal RNA
Source: RNAcentral